CAAAGCUUUUCGUAAGAAAGAAUCUAUUUCGAAAAAGUAUUUGUCAAAGAAAGUUCUUAUUUUCUUCUUCGGACGUUUUGAAUGUUAACUACGUCGUAACCGUUUUUGACCCCAACAACAUCCAUCAACCCAACACUUAACAACGUAUGAUAUCGGGGUUGAUGUUUCUACAUCAAAAUCAAAUUGAUGCCUCACUGUAAGAAGUUUCAGUCGUCUCUCCAAAUCGUCUUUACUCUCGUAUCGUUGACCUACCGCAAUGUCUAUCGACGACAUCUCCAACC
RNAcentral lists this long non-coding RNA (281 nucleotides) under Brassica napus (rape). RNAcentral describes it as "long non-coding RNA (BNAP_LNC011029)". The record is from RNAcentral. Lineage: Eukaryota; Viridiplantae; Streptophyta; Magnoliopsida; Brassicales; Brassicaceae.